UAACCAAACUUGUUUAUCUUACAAGACAAAUUAUAUGUGCUUUCAUUUUUCUUCUGCUGAAAAUUAUACUUUUUCCUUUUUAAUCCAUUCUUUCCUGAGGAACAUCUUGGUUUAUAAGCUGAAUGGGAAUUUAACAGAAAGAAUUUUUGAACCCAUUUCUCUUUCCUUCCCUACCUUCCCAGAAUAAGCUUGAUUUUAGGAUUACUAUUUCUUUUAGUAAAGGUACUGGUAAUUCCUUUGGAUUAGAAAUUUGUUUUUAUCUUAUUAAAUUCUGUUGACUCUAGUGCCCAAGAGUAGAGUAUCUUGCUUAAGUUUGAAAUACGAAAUAUUUGGCCGGGCUGGUCUCGAACUCCUGACCUCAAGUGAUCUGCCUCGGCCUCCCAAAGUGCUGGGAUUACAGGCGUGAGCCACCGCGGCCGGCCUGCAACAUUUUUUUUUUCCUAAAUUUCUUUGAGUUUUAAAUUGACAUUGGAAGUGCAGUAUUCAAGAAAGAGACCAUACUAUUGUUACUGUUGCAAUUCAAUUUUGUACUCAGUCACUGUAAGUCAUGUUAAACACUCUAGAGCAGAUUCUUUACUAUUUUUUUUUGUCAGUUAAGCUCAAGAUUAACUUCUCUUUUUCUUCCUCUAU
Long non-coding RNA from Homo sapiens (human), 630 nucleotides. NCBI's taxonomy places the organism in Eukaryota, Metazoa, Chordata, Mammalia, Primates, Hominidae. The record is from Ensembl.